CCCUUAGAUGUCCGGGGCUGCACGCGCGCUACACUGAAGGAAUCAGCGUGCUAAAACCAUUGUCGAAAGGCAUUGGUAAACCCAUUAAAAUCCUACGUGAUUGGGAUCGGGAAUUGCAAUUAUUUCCCUUGAACGAGGAAUUCCCAGUAAGUGUGGGUCAUAAGCUCGCGUUGAUUACGUCCCUGCCCUUUGUACACACCGCCCGUCGCUGCCCGGGACUGAGCCGUUUCGAGAAAAGCGGGGACUGCUGCUGUCGAGGCUUUCGGGCCUUGGCUUCGGUGGAAACCGCUUUAAUCGCAGUGGCUUGAACCGGGCAAAAGUCGUAACA
This 328-nucleotide ribosomal RNA is filed under the name uncultured eukaryote. RNAcentral's name for it is "partial 18S ribosomal RNA". It matches the Rfam family "Eukaryotic small subunit ribosomal RNA", at positions 1470 to 1796 of the family's 1831-position model. The record is from RNAcentral.